Molecule: ribosomal RNA, 462 nt
Filed under: uncultured bacterium
Lineage: Bacteria
Description: partial 16S ribosomal RNA
Rfam family: Bacterial small subunit ribosomal RNA
Source: RNAcentral
GACGAACGCUGGCGGCGUGCUUAACACAUGCAAGUCGAACGGUGACGCCCUUCGGGGUGUAUCAGUGGCGAACGGGUGAGUGACAAGUGAGCAACCUGCCCCUGGCUCUGGGACAACCACUGGACACGGUGGCUAAUACCGGAUACGACCCGCCUCGGCAUCGAGUGUGGGUGGAAAGUUUUUCGGCUGGUGAUGGGUUCGCGGCCUAUCAACUUCUUGGUGAGGUGAAGGCUCUCCAAGGCAACGACGGCUAGCCGGCAUGAGAGCGGGAACGGGCACCAGAGGACUGCGAGACGCACCAGACGGCAACUUGAGGCAGCAGGGGGGAAUAUGGCACAACGGGGGAAAGCCUGAUGCAGAGACGCCGCGUGAGGGAUGACGGCUUUCGGGUGGUAAACCUCUUUCAGCUCAGACGAAGCGAAAGUGACGGUAGCAGAAGAAGAAGCACCGGCUAACUACGUG